Molecule: ribosomal RNA, 443 nt
Filed under: uncultured bacterium
Lineage: Bacteria
Description: partial 16S ribosomal RNA
Rfam family: Bacterial small subunit ribosomal RNA
Source: RNAcentral
GAUGAACGCUGGCGGCAUGCCUAACACAUGCAAGUCGAUCGGUAAGGCUCUUCGGAGUACACGAGAGGCGGACGGCUGAGUAACGCGUAGGAACACACCCUGCAGUGAGGGAUAAGACACCGAAAGGUGUUCUAAUACCGCAUACGGUCUUCGGAUUAAAGCAUUUAUGCGCUGAAGGAGUGGCCUGCGUCAUAUUAGAUAGUUGGUGAGGUAAUGGCUCACCAAGUCGAUGAUGUGUAGCUGGUCUGAGAGGAUGAUCAGCCAGACUGGAACUGAGACACGGUCCAGACUCCUACGGGAAGCAGCAGUGAGGAAUAUUUCACAAUGAGCGAAGGCUUGAUGGAGCAAUGCCGCGUGCAGGAUGAAGGCCCUCGGGUUGUAAACUGCUUUUAUAAGAGAAGAUUAUGACGGUAACUUAUGAAUAAGGGACGGCUAACUACGUG